This 427-nucleotide ribosomal RNA is filed under the name uncultured bacterium. Its description in RNAcentral is "partial 16S ribosomal RNA". It matches the Rfam family "Bacterial small subunit ribosomal RNA", at positions 355 to 774 of the family's 1533-position model. The record is from RNAcentral.
UGGGGAAUAUUGCACAAUGGGCGCAAGCCUGAUGCAGCCAUGCCGCGUGUAUGAAGAAGGCCUUCGGGUUGUAAAGUACUUUCAGCGGGGAGGAAGGCGAUGCGGUUAAUAACCGCGUCGAUUGACGUUACCCGCAGAAGAAGCACCGGCUAACUCCGUGCCAGCAGCCGCGGUAAUACGGAGGGUGCAAGCGUUAAUCGGAAUUACUGGGCGUAAAGCGCACGCAGGCGGUCUGUCAAGUCGGAUGGGAAAUCCCCGGGCUCAACCUGGGAACUGCAUCCGAAACUGGCAGGCUUGAGUCUCGUAGAGGGGGGUAGAAUUCCAGGUGUAGCGGUGAAAUGCGUAGAGAUCUGGAGGAAUACCGGUGGCGAAGGCGGCCUCCUGGACGAAGACUGACGCUCAGGUGCGAAAGCGUGGGGAGCAAACA